Molecule: long non-coding RNA, 978 nt
Organism: Rhinopithecus roxellana (golden snub-nosed monkey)
Lineage: Eukaryota; Metazoa; Chordata; Mammalia; Primates; Cercopithecidae
Exons: 2
Source: RefSeq, a predicted model, not a curated record
CUAGGCUGGUCUCGAACUCCUGACCUCUGGUAAUCCACCCACCUUGGCCUCCCAAAGUGCUGGGAUUACAGGUGUGAGCCACUGCACCCGGCCAGUUUUCUUAGUUUUCAUGGGAUAUUUUUCAAGACCUAGGGGCUACCCACCUGGCUAAUAGCAAUCCUAAAUCCUCAUACAUCCUAAAAGGCCGCUAAAUAUGAGGACUGUGUAUCUUAUGCUUCAGGAGCCUAGGAACAAGAAAGCGGCACUAACUGUGGAGGAGCAGUUAGCACGAGAGGUGGAACGCCUUAAGGCAAAGGUAGAGGCCGGGAGAGCCUGUUUCUUAGAGAAGUACAAAGAGUGUCAACGACUUCACAAACAGAUCAGGCAACUCAGGGCGGCUGCACUGGAAGUGAAGCAGGACCAGAAGAGCCAGCAGGAGCCAAUGGGGAUGGGAAGCAAGGAGCCUGCAGUCAGCACUGUCACCGGGUAGCCCCCUCUCGCAUUACUACCUCAGGGUCGGCUAGACACGCACAGCAGUUUGGGCACCAGCGUUCAAAUAAAAAAUCUUGGAUCAAAAACCACAACUAGUAGGCUUAGCUUAAGUGUGUGUGUGAGGUAUGCGCAUGUGUAUGUAUGCAGGUAGAAGAUGGGAAGCUCUGAAGCAUGAAACCAGUUAGGUCAACCCAUCACACUGGGAUGCUCAAGACUGCGGUCUGAGCUCCUUGUGUCCUUGGACAAAUGCCUUCCUGUGUUCCCUCUUCCUUCAUGUAACUUGAGCCCAGAUACCUAUCCUCACACUGUAGGAAGGAAUCACAUCAACCCAAACCUAAGUGCUUCAGGCCUCACUGAGUGAGAUGUUUAUUCAAAACAAAGAUGAUAGUUUUCAUGGUUGGGUGGGAUUAAACAAGGUUUCAUUUAUCCCUAAUUCUGAUAAGUCAGUUUUGAGAUUUUCCCCAAGGUUGCUUUUUCCCUCCUUGGUCACUUAUACCCUCAGUUCAA